GUGAAUGAAAACGGAAGGAAACUUACCAGGCUGCACAGAAUCCCACAGAACAUCCACCAAAUCUGCUCAAACUUCACAAGGAUGCAGAUGCGGAGGCUGUGGAGUUGAUGUCUGUCCGGGGAUAGCCGUUUCUAAUCGCCGGAAAACACAAGACUGCAGAUAAUAAUGCAUCAACGCUCGAAUCAGGAUUCAAUCUGGAUUAUCUUCAGUGUGAUGACAUGGUCUAAUGGCUAUUUUCUUGCACCUGCGGGUAGAAGCCCAGCAUACUUGAUAUCGUAGGAAAGAUGAGAGGGAGGACCUUCAACUCUUGAGUCCUGCUGAGUAGGUUAUCAUUACCAGUCAACUUCUCUGACUUUGUGUCUGUGUGUGACCGAGGUUACAUAUGUUAAAGGUAGUUUGGGGCUGUAAACAUCCCCGACUGGAAGCUGUCCUUCUGCAGAGCUUUCAGUCCGAUGUUUGCCGCUGCCGGCCGCCUCCAGCUGCACAGAACAGGAAGAGCCGCUUCAUUUCAUUUUAUGGGAAGGUUGUUUAACUAAUAGUAUUAGCAAGUUUGGUUUUUUUGUGGCCUACAUCCGGAAUAUCCAGACUCAGUCCAUGUAAACAUCCUACACUCAGCUGUAAUCGCUUGCGGCAGAGGCUGAGGGAAGGUUGUUUACUUGGACUGGCUGGAAGUGACACGAAGCGAGCUGACUAGAGGGCGUCCGCGCCAAGGUCACGCAUCACGGUUUUGACAGACUAAGUCGAUUAACAAAAAGUAAUGUUUUGAUAUGUCAUUAAAGUAAAAGGACAAAUCAUUUGUAAGCCACAACCUCUCAAAAUGUCUAUUUGUGCAAUUUUGUUCAUUUUAUACAACUGCGUCUUGAAAUAUUUAGCCUUUUCUGAUGUUAAUCCAAGCUAUUUGUGCUUUAGUUUGACAUUUCAAAUGUAUGUGUAACUGUGAAUUGUAUUGAAAACAAUCCUUAGCUUCAGCUCUGUAAAAAAGAUAAUGAACAUUUAUGUAAGAAUAGACUAUAUUAUGUUGUACUUUUUCUCCCCAUCAUGCAAAACAGAACGUUAUCUAACCCCUGUAAGAUUGUAAGAAUGUGUGUGUUUUGAAAAAGUGUUUACGCUGACAUUAAAGCGACUCCAGCAAACGUAAAGAUGUAA
This is a long non-coding RNA of Eleginops maclovinus (Patagonian blennie), 1146 nucleotides long. RefSeq lists it as uncharacterized. The transcript has 2 exons. NCBI's taxonomy places the organism in Eukaryota, Metazoa, Chordata, Actinopteri, Perciformes, Eleginopidae. The record is from RefSeq and is a predicted model, not a curated record.